UACGGAGGGGGCUAGCGUUGUUCGGAAUUACUGGGCGUAAAGCGCACGUAGGCGGCUUUGUAAGUUAGAGGUGAAAGCCCAGAGCUCAACUCUGGAAUUGCCUUUAAGACUGCAUCGCUCGAAUUGUGGAGAGGUGAGUGGAAUUCCGAGUGUAGAGGUGAAAUUCGUAGAUAUUCGGAAGAACACCAGUGGCGAAGGCGACUCACUGGACACAUAUUGACGCUGAGGUGCGAAAGCGUGGGGAGCAAACAGG
This 253-nucleotide ribosomal RNA is filed under the name uncultured bacterium. Its description in RNAcentral is "partial 16S ribosomal RNA". It matches the Rfam family "Bacterial small subunit ribosomal RNA", at positions 524 to 776 of the family's 1533-position model. The record is from RNAcentral.